RNAcentral lists this ribosomal RNA (433 nucleotides) under uncultured bacterium. RNAcentral describes it as "partial 16S ribosomal RNA". It matches the Rfam family "Bacterial small subunit ribosomal RNA", at positions 29 to 507 of the family's 1533-position model. The record is from RNAcentral.
AACGAACGCUGGCGGCAUGCCUAACACAUGCAAGUCGAACGAGACCUUCGGGUCUAUUGGCGCACGGGUGCGUAACGCGUGGGAACCUGCCCUUAGGUUCGGAAUAACUCCCCGAAAGGGGUGCUAAUACCGGAUAAUGUCUUCGGACCAAAGAUUUAUCGCCUUUGGAUGGGCCCGCGUUGGAUUAGCUAGUUGGUAGGGUAAAAGCCUACCAAGGCGACGAUCCAUAGCUGGUCUGAGAGGAUGAUCAGCCACACUGGGACUGAGACACGGCCCAGACUCCUACGGGAGGCAGCAGUGGGGAAUAUUGGACAAUGGGCGAAAGCCUGAUAAAGCAAUGCCGCGUGAGUGAUGAAGGCCUUAGGGUUGUAAAGCUCUUUUACCCGGGAUGAUAAUGACAGUACCGGGAGAAUAAGCUCCGGCUAACUCCGUG